This is a long non-coding RNA of Mytilus trossulus (common blue mussel), 863 nucleotides long. RefSeq lists it as uncharacterized. The record is from RefSeq and is a predicted model, not a curated record. Lineage: Eukaryota; Metazoa; Mollusca; Bivalvia; Mytilida; Mytilidae. The transcript has 3 exons.
ACUUCAAGAAAAAGAUGUUCUCCAACCAAAGGUAUAGAAAGUGAAGGAAAUAAUAGGAAAAGGAAAAGAGAUGUACAUACCAGAUCUUGAAGACAACAUUUGUAAUGAUAAUGAUGGCACUAUUACUUUCUUUCCUGAUGUAUUAAUGGAAACCAUGGCUUGAGAGGAGAAAUUAUUGAUUUCAUUAGAAUGUAUGACCCCAAAUAAGUUCUGCCUCGAGUAGGAAAUCCUAUAAAUACAGUGUUCAAAUACCAUGAUGGAUCUAGAAGUUUGAGCGAUGAUCAAAGAGACAGUAUUACUCAGUAUUUAUGUACUUUCCAAGAAAUUCGAUCAUUGUCUCAUAUAGAUAAUGCCAGUCUCGUCCAAAGCCUCAUUGAGUUUACUAUCAAAAGAAAAACAGAAAAUGAUCUUCAUCAGAACAAUGGAAGCCUUUAAUAGUGAUUUAUAGAUGCCAACAAAACUAAAAAGAAAAGGGAGACCCAAAAAAGAGGAAAGAACAAACUUGUUCCUUUCUUUAAGAGAACAGUUGAUGAAAAAGAAAGAGAAAUACUUAAUUGGUUAGGUAGUGUAGAUAGUCUAAUGAAGGCAUCAGGAGGGACAUUACUGGAUGAAGAAGAUUUGGUUGGAUUAUCGGAGGACUCGUUACCUUACUGAAGUUUAGAUGAUUAUGUUGAUUUGACAAUUGUUCAAAAAAAAAUUCACUUCAUCUGCAUGGUUGUUUUUAUUAUCUAUUGUAAAAGAAAAACAACAAAAGGGUAGAUAUAAUUCUUUGUACAUACCGUAAUGUUUUUAUUACUACAGAAAAUGAUGAUGCUGUUGAAUGUGACUUUUCUGUGUUAUGGUGGCAUACAAGUUGUAUUAAA